RNAcentral lists this ribosomal RNA (333 nucleotides) under Blastocystis sp. subtype 3. Its description in RNAcentral is "SSU rRNA". It matches the Rfam family "Eukaryotic small subunit ribosomal RNA", at positions 21 to 369 of the family's 1831-position model. The record is from RNAcentral. Lineage: Eukaryota; Bigyra; Opalinata; Blastocystidae.
UUUUGUAGUCAUACGCUCGUCUCAAAGAUUAAGCCAUGCAUGUGUAAGUAUAAAUAGUUAACUUUGAAACUGCGAAUGGCUCAUUAUAUCAGUUAUAGUUUAUUUGAUGAAGAAUACUAAUUGGAUAACCGUAGUAAUUCUAGAGCUAAUACAUGUAUAAAGUCUUGUAGACUGCAUUUAUUAGAAUGAAAACCAUAGGUUUCGGCCUAUUCGUGAGUAAUAAUAACUAAUCAUAUCGUAUGCUUAAGUAACGAUGUGUCUUUCAAGUUUCUGCCCUAUCAGCUUUCGAUGGUAGUGUAUUGGACUACCAUGGCAGUAACGGGUAACGAAGAA